UGCAAGACCCCGUGCACAGCUCCUCCUCAGACCUUACACAGCAGGAAGGGUCUUCAGACCUCUGAAGCACAAAUUAUCCUUAUGCCAUUAGCACUUUAAUAGGUAAGAUGAGACAAACAAAGUUUGAGCUGUGGAGCACAAACUUAUGCAAAAAGAGAACAAGAUACAGCAUCUAAUGCAGCUGAAGGUGACAAACAAGCACAACAUGUGCUAAAAUUUGGUUACUUCAAAGUGAGAAAUUUGCUAUCAGUUCAUCCAGGUGAAAAAUUCAAUCCAGAUAGUACAUCAGGAGGAUCCAGAGGUACUUUAAAUCUAGCCAUGAACCACUACUGAGGCUUGAAGAUUUCCAUAAAAUUAAAGCAUCACACACUGGCUACAUUUUGGAACAACAAUUCAACUGUCAUCACCCUGUCCUCCUCUCCCAAGUGAACAUCUUCUCAGCACCUUAAAAAUAAGACACCAUGGUAGAGAAAACUCAAUCAGUAAUUUCCCUCUCCCAAAACGGCACCAUCUUUUAUCCUUUCCAGAGAAGAAAAAUACCAAACUGAUGGAAUAAUGUUGUCCCUGAGGGUGACAGCAAGGGAGGGAAGCAAUGUGUCCUCAAACAUUCACAUAAUUUAAUCUGGAACUGCAAAUAUUAUUAAGCAGCAAUCAUAACAGCACAGUUACUGCUUCAUGGCACUCCAAAGAGGAGAUAAAACUGCUUAGUUGUUAAUUUCUAAUGAUGUAAACACAUUUGGAUUUUAAUGUUGUAUCUGAAUCUCCUGCAUUAUUAGCUCUGGGGUUACAAGACAUUAGCUUACUACCUUUAAUAAUUUUACAUUUGAAUUAAAAGGUGUGUUUAAAUAUGA
Cyanistes caeruleus (blue tit) is the source of this 851-nucleotide non-coding RNA. The record is from RefSeq and is a predicted model, not a curated record. Lineage: Eukaryota; Metazoa; Chordata; Aves; Passeriformes; Paridae.